Non-coding RNA from Beta vulgaris subsp. vulgaris (sugar beet), 74 nucleotides. The record is from Rfam. Lineage: Eukaryota; Viridiplantae; Streptophyta; Magnoliopsida; Caryophyllales; Amaranthaceae.
GGGGAAUUGGUGUAGUUGGUCAUCACGCGUCGUUAGCAACGACGAGGUCGGGGUUUCGACUACCCCAUUCUCCA